Molecule: ribosomal RNA, 514 nt
Filed under: uncultured bacterium
Lineage: Bacteria
Description: bacterial SSU rRNA
Rfam family: Bacterial small subunit ribosomal RNA
Source: RNAcentral
GACGAACGCUGGCGGCGUGCCUAAUACAUGCAAGUCGAGCGAAGUGGAGAGAGCUUGCUCUCAAAGCUUAGCGGCGGACGGGUGAGUAACACGUGGGUAACCUGCCUGACAGACUGGGACAACUCCUGGAAACGGGUGCUAAUACCGGAUACGCUCUUGAACCGCAUGGUUCGAGAGGGAAAGAAGCUAUCGCUUCACUGUCAGAUGGACCCGCGGCGCAUUAGCUAGUUGGUGAGGUAACGGCUCACCAAGGCGACGAUGCGUAGCCGACCUGAGAGGGUGAUCGGCCACACUGGGACUGAGACACGGCCCAGACUCCUACGGGAGGCAGCAGUAGGGAAUCUUCCGCAAUGGGCGAAAGCCUGACGGAGCAACGCCGCGUGAAUGAUGAAGGCCUUCGGGUUGUAAAAUUCUGUCUUCUGUGAAGAACAAGCCUGUGAGUGGAAAGCUCAGGCCUUGACGGUAACAGAGGAGGAAGCCCCGGCUAACUACGUGCCAGCAGCCGCCGUAAAAC